RNAcentral lists this small RNA (74 nucleotides) under Mytilus galloprovincialis (Mediterranean mussel). Lineage: Eukaryota; Metazoa; Mollusca; Bivalvia; Mytilida; Mytilidae. The record is from RNAcentral.
UAUCCCAUGGGACUACAAUUAUCCCAUGGGAUUUUACCAAAAUCCCAUGGGAUAAUGGUCAAUCCCAUGGGAUU